UAUGAGAAAUAAACUACAGGCCUAAGCAUGCAGAAGAACAGUCUUCCUGACUGAAUUUACGCUUGAGCUCCAUUACAAUUCAUCCUGAGGACAACAUGAAUGUCUGAACCAAAAGGGACAAAGAGCCGCUGGGAUCCAUCCCCACAGUGCAUCACGGCCACUGGCUGCCUCAGACCACUCAACACCUCCUGGGCACAGUAGCAGUUGUGUUUGUGUUUCCUGGGUAACAAGGGAGACAAAAGGUGUAGUAGAACUCACGGCAGAAGUCCUGGCAGAGCCGCGGCAGAUCUGGCUCCCUGUGUGGCAUCUUAUCCAUGUCCAAGGAGUGGAACAACACCUGGGCAUUGGGGGAGCAGCGAGCACACUUGAUCUCCUCCAGGAGACGUCCACAUUCGGUGUUGUUGGUGGAGAAAAUCUGGAGACCACA
Molecule: long non-coding RNA, 427 nt
Organism: Cyclopterus lumpus (lumpfish)
Lineage: Eukaryota; Metazoa; Chordata; Actinopteri; Perciformes; Cyclopteridae
Exons: 3
Source: RefSeq, a predicted model, not a curated record